GCUCCCGUAGCUCAAUGGAUAGAGUCCCUGACUUCGAAUCAGUAGGUUGCGCGUUCGAGUCGCGCCGGGAGCGCCU
RNAcentral lists this transfer RNA (76 nucleotides) under Anaerolineaceae bacterium. RNAcentral's name for it is "tRNA-Arg". It matches the Rfam family "tRNA". From Rfam's summary of the family: Transfer RNA (tRNA) molecules are approximately 80 nucleotides in length. Their secondary structure includes four short double-helical elements and three loops (D, anti-codon, and T loops). Further hydrogen bonds mediate the characteristic L-shaped molecular structure. tRNAs have two regions of fundamental functional importance: the anti-codon, which is responsible for specific mRNA codon recognition, and the 3' end, to which the tRNAs corresponding amino acid is attached (by aminoacyl-tRNA synthetases). tRNAs cope with the degeneracy of the genetic code in two manners: having more than one tRNA (with a specific anti-codon) for a particular amino acid; and 'wobble' base-pairing, i.e. permitting non-standard base-pairing at the 3rd anti-codon position. Lineage: Bacteria; Bacillati; Chloroflexota; Anaerolineae; Anaerolineales; Anaerolineaceae. The record is from RNAcentral.